This 274-nucleotide ribosomal RNA is filed under the name uncultured bacterium. Its description in RNAcentral is "partial 16S ribosomal RNA". It matches the Rfam family "Bacterial small subunit ribosomal RNA", at positions 523 to 796 of the family's 1533-position model. The record is from RNAcentral.
AUACGAACCGUACGAACGUUAUUCGGAAUCACUGGGCUUAAAGAGUGCGUAGGCGGCUUGGUAAGUUGGGUGUGAAAUCCCUCGGCUCAACCGAGGAAUUGCGCCCAAUACUGCUAGGCUUGAGGGAGGUAGGGGUGAGCGGAACUAAUGGUGGAGCGGCGAAAUGCGUUGAUAUCAUUAGGAACACCGGAGGCGAAAGCGGCUCACUGGAUCUCUUCUGACGCUGAGGCACGAAAGCUAGGGGAGCGAACGGGAUUAGAAACCCUAGUAGUCC